AUUCUCCUAGUAACGGCGAGUGAACGGAGAUUAGCCCAUCACCGAAGUCUAUCUGCUUUUGCGGACAGGACAAUGUGGUGUUCAGACAUGCCCCUGGGAGCGCUUGCCUACUCGAAGUCCAUCUCCGAUUCUGGCUUGGACUAUAUCCAUAGCGGGUGAAAGACCCGUGCGGGUAGGCUCUUGUUGCAAUAAGCGAUCCUCAGAUGUGCAUGUUCUCGAGUCGGAUUGCUUGAGAAUGCAGUCCAAAGUGGGUGGUAAACUCCAUCCAAGGCUAAAUACUGGCGCGAGUCCGAUAGUAGACAAGUACCGUGAGGGAAAGUUGAAAAGUACUCUGAAGAGAGAGUAAAUAGCACGUGAAGCCGCUUGCAGGGAAGCUGGUGGAGUCAAGCUUCAUGCUUGGCGGAUUGUUUGGAGAGACACUAUUGUGUUGGGACGUGGCUUUGGCGAGCCUGGAAACGGCCUGGCGUGCGCGAGUACGCUUCAAGUCAUUCUGGGAUGAGUGUUUGUGCCUUUGCCUAUCUCCCGUGUCUCUCCGAGCUUAUUCGCCUCUGCAUACAUCACGGUCAAUAGGAUCACCUGUGGUCUUUGGUGCUGUGCGAGCGCUUAACCGUGCCUUUGUGGACUUCACCGUCUGCUGGGCUCGGGAUGGCAGAAGGCACAGGGUGGACCUCGCGUCCGCCCGGUGCGUAUGUUGGUUUUGACCUGCUAGUGCUCAUGUACAGUAUCGAUUCUAUUGUGCUUUGCGAUGCUCGCUCCUCGGAGCGGGUGUCUGUGAGAACCGUGGUGC
Molecule: ribosomal RNA, 787 nt
Filed under: Dactylogyrus marocanus
Lineage: Eukaryota; Metazoa; Platyhelminthes; Monogenea; Dactylogyridea; Dactylogyridae
Description: eukaryotic LSU rRNA
Rfam family: Eukaryotic large subunit ribosomal RNA
Source: RNAcentral